Molecule: ribosomal RNA, 161 nt
Filed under: Staphylococcus aureus
Lineage: Bacteria; Bacillati; Bacillota; Bacilli; Caryophanales; Staphylococcaceae
Description: partial 16S ribosomal RNA
Rfam family: Bacterial small subunit ribosomal RNA
Source: RNAcentral
UUUUAUGGAGAGUUUGAUCCUGGCUCAGGAUGAACGCUGGCGGCGUGCCUAAUACAUGCAAGUCGAGCGAACGGACGAGAAGCUUGCUUCUCUGAUGUUAGCGGCGGACGGGUGAGUAACACGUGGAUAACCUACCUAUAAGACUGGGAUAACUUCGGGAA